GACGAACGCUGGCGGCGUGCUUAACACAUGCAAGUCGAACGGAAAGGCCCUGCUUUUGUGGGGUGCUCGAGUGGCGAACGGGUGAGUAACACGUGAGUAACCUGCCCUUUACUUUGGGAUAACUUCAGGAAACUGGGGCUAAUACCGGAUAGGAGCUCCUGCUGCAUGGUGGGGGUUGGAAAGUUUCGGCGGUUGGGGAUGGACUCGCGGCUUAUCAGCUUGUUGGUGGGGUAGUGGCUUACCAAGGCUUUGACGGGUAGCCGGCCUGAGAGGGUGACCGGACACAUUGGGACUGGGAUACGGCCGAGACUCCUACGGGAGGCAGCAGUGGGGAAUAUUGCACAAUGGGCGGAAGCCUGAUGCAGCAACGCCGCGUGCGGGAUGACGGCCUUCGGGUUGUAAACCGCUUUCGCCUGUGACGAAGCGUGAGUGACGGUAAUGGGUAAAGAAGCACCGGCUAACUACGUG
RNAcentral lists this ribosomal RNA (468 nucleotides) under uncultured bacterium. RNAcentral's name for it is "partial 16S ribosomal RNA". It matches the Rfam family "Bacterial small subunit ribosomal RNA", at positions 28 to 507 of the family's 1533-position model. The record is from RNAcentral.